Molecule: long non-coding RNA, 1025 nt
Organism: Myzus persicae (green peach aphid)
Lineage: Eukaryota; Metazoa; Arthropoda; Insecta; Hemiptera; Aphididae
Exons: 5
Source: RefSeq, a predicted model, not a curated record
AUACAUUUAAUUACCCUGUAUAUGCCUAUAGGUAUACACAUCAUGCACUGCAUGGUAUCUUUAUACACGUGCAACUGUAAGCGAGUCAUAUCAGACACCAUAAUACGUACAUCGAUCGACAAGGUGUAUAUAUACCUAUAUCAUACUUAUAUAAUGUAGGCUGUACACGGCAUAAUACCAUAGAUUAUACAUAUAUCUAUAAUUGAUGGUAUUACGCGUAGGCACUAUAGCCGUAUAUGGUAUAUGUAUAUUAAGUAUUUUAAUAACCGAUACCUAUACUACAUAGUACAUACCUAAUACCUAUUCAUCAUUAUAGUUUCCCACAUUUAAACAUAUUGUAACUCUAAAAGUACGAUUUUCUUUUCGGUUAUUGUUCGGUAUCUACCUAUAUAGUCUCGUUCUGACCACUACACACACAUUAUACAGUAUACCUACAUCAAAAUACACUCGCAGUAUACGCAUGCAGGGAAAUAAUCAGUGGCGCAAGUACGGCUCAAAUGUUGGAGGGCUGUGGCCAUCGCCCGAUAUUACAUAAAAAAUAACUCGUCAACCCGUGGUGGUGUGGGGCACCACACCCUCCAUAUAUAAUAUGUAUAUUAUACACUUAAAAAUAUAAAAAUUAUACAAAAAAAAAAAAUGUAUUAAGGCACGUACAAUUCCGUCUAUUUAUUAGUAAAUAGUUAUACGAUAUGCAGUAUUUUGGAACUGAAAACAAAGUUUAUUCCAAAUUCCAAUAGAAUACAAGGGCACCGAUCAAUUAGAACCUACAAGGGCUUCACAAUUAUCAUAAAAAAAAAAAACUAGGAAGGACUAGGUGCAUAAUGUCUACAAUCAAAUCAGAUCUCAAAUGUAACUAUAAAUGGUUAUCAACGGGAAACUGUCAGAAGUCAGAGUUUGAGUCGGAACAAAAACAACCCAAUGAAAGGGCCCAAAAAUGUGUUUGUUAAUUGCAUGGAAAAAAAUAACUAGUACGCUGAAAUAAUUUUAAUAAAUAAGAGGUUACCUAACCUUACAUAAAAUAUUCA